UGCUGGUCCAGUGCCGCAGGGAAGCCGUUAAGUCUGCCGCCUGGGUAGUACGGUCGCAAGACUGAAACUUAAAGGAAUUGGCGGGGAGCACCACAAGGGGUG
Molecule: ribosomal RNA, 102 nt
Filed under: uncultured bacterium
Lineage: Bacteria
Description: partial 16S ribosomal RNA
Rfam family: Archaeal small subunit ribosomal RNA
Source: RNAcentral